This 186-nucleotide ribosomal RNA is filed under the name uncultured bacterium. Its description in RNAcentral is "partial 16S ribosomal RNA". It matches the Rfam family "Bacterial small subunit ribosomal RNA", at positions 1314 to 1500 of the family's 1533-position model. The record is from RNAcentral.
GCCUUCAUGAAGCCGGAAUUGCUAGUAAUGGCAGGUCAGCAUACUGCCGUGAAUACGUUCCCGGGCCUUGUACACACCGCCCGUCACACCAUGAGAGUUGGAAAUACCCGAAGCCUGUGAGCUAACUUAAAGAGGCAGCAGUCGAAGGUAGAAUCAAUGAUUGGGGUGAAGUCGUAACAAGGUAAC